UUUGUUCUUUUACUAGUUUUUGUUAAACAUUGGACAAGAAAUUCUAUAUCGUUAAUUACCCAUCCAACUGUGUGGUAGUGGCUUGAAUUUAACAUAAAUUUACAUAUUUUUAAAUCCUUUUAGCUAUAUAUAUACAUAUUUCAAAUGAAUUGGAUGGCAAUAUGAAUUGCCACUUCUUUCAUUUAGCUCAAUUCAUAUAUUAAUUACUAGUUUACUACCACAAUAAUAAUAACGUAUUAUUCAAAUCGAAGACAGUAAACUCCAUGUUACAUCUAUUACUGCCAAAGAUAAUAGUAUUUUCAAAAGAUUAUGUGGUCCGUGAUUGUGGACUUUCAAAAAGUUAAAUAAUGCAAAAUCAAAAUCUACUGUACUGCUUGAAAUUUAUAUUUUCUUCCUUCUACUAGUGGAGCAAUUUUGUUGUUCAACAUUACUCGAGGCCUCCAAUUUACACCUUACAUAAACAUAUCCACGUCAGAAUGAAUAUAAUCCAUAUCAACCAAUAGCAUCCACUCACAUUAGAUAACAGUCCAUCAUCUCAUCACCUAAAGUCCUAAACAUCCACAAGUAUACACCACUCAUUUAUGAAAAGAAUCAACCGCUUCCUUCAGUACUUCAAUCCACAACUUCUCAUAUUAAAACCCCCUCAACCCCUUCUCAUCUUUUCUUGAUUCCAAAUUCUCAAAUAGCUAGUGCAAUGGCCACAGUUACCUCUGCUGCUGUUGCUAUCCCAUCUUUCACCGGCCUUAAGGCUGGUGCUUCCUCAACUUCCAGAGUUAGCACCACCGCCAAGGUGGCUGCUGCCACCCCCGUCACCAAGUUGGCCGUAAAGGCAUCUUUGAAAGAUGUCGGUGCUGUUGUUGUCGCCACCGCUGCUAGUGCAAUGCUUGCUAGCAAUGCCAUGGCUAUUGAAGUGUUGCUUGGUAGCGAUGAUGGCGGUCUUGCUUUUGUUCCUGGAAACUUCAGUGUUAGCGCCGGUGAGAAAAUUACGUUUAAGAACAAUGCCGGGUUCCCUCACAACGUUGUAUUUGACGAAGAUGAAAUCCCAGCUGGUGUGGAUGUAAGUAAGAUUUCCAUGCCUGAAGAGGAAUAUCUGAAUGGACCAGGGGAGACUUACUCUGUCACUUUGAGUGAGAAAGGAACUUACACCUUCUACUGUGCGCCUCACCAGGGAGCUGGAAUGGUUGGCAAAGUUACUGUAAACUAAUUUCUCACCUCUGUAUCACGUAAAACUUGAUUUGAAUUCGCAUCAUUUCACCAUUUUCAUUUCAAUAUUGUCCUUCUUUUUGAGGUAAGGAGAACUCAGAAGAGUUGCAUAUUUAUUGAUGUUGCUGGGGAUUUGAAUUGUAUCAUGGUUGAGGUAAAACUUAAAUAAUGUCAUUUUAUGAUUAAUACAAACUUUUCUGGACUGUAAUGUUGUUAUUAAAUUAAUAAGUUCAACCUUUUCCCUGACUUGUAUGGAAUUUUUCAUUCAAGUACAUAGUCGCAGUUUGUGAUAUAAACAGGAAAUGUAUUCUCAUAAAUGAAAAAACUUAAGAAUAAAAUUGUCAUUCUUUCAGACACAGAUCAGAUUAUACAGCAAAUGGCCGAAAAUUUUCACUGUACAUGUGUUGAAAUUACAUCAUCUUUUUAGUUACUGUACUUUUGGAGGGAUUCUUGAAGUCAUCACGAACAAGAUGCUUUAUUACAUUAUAAACACAAAGAAUGGUACAACAACAUUAGUGAACACGACGCAGAACUCAGACAGAACCGUUUCUCUAGAAAAAUGGUUUAAUUUAUGGGGGGCAUUAGAAAGCUGGAAGAGUCAUGUGGUCAAAGCAUCAGGAAGAUUGGUUCGAGCUCCUAGUACUUUACCACCAACAUCAGGAAAAUAUUCAUGACCAGGUAAGGAACUUACUUUCCCAUCAGAAUCUACUUUGACUGGGUACUUGAGAAGAUGACCUUGUAAAGGUUUGAACUCCUCAGCAGUGAAUCUGUUCCAAUUAUCUUCAGCAACCUUAUUCACAUGCUUCACACAGUCCAAACUUUCUGGCUUUGUGAAGCAAUCGUCUAACUUGCCCAUAUGCUCUGCCCACAGAGACAUUCUAUAACCAUAUACCUGCAGCCGCACUUGUUAACUUUAAUCAAAUAUGUCAAGGAGAUCCUUUUGUAGACUGGCUAGAAUGGAUAACAAAUAGUGUACUGCUAUUAUUUUUGCUAGUUUUGAUCAUCACAAAAAUGUUCUAGUUUCCUUAUUUGGGAAGGAGAAUGAGGGAAAUAAAAACUCACUGACCUGGCCAUGUGGAUGUUUUUUCUUGUUAGCCCAAGUGUGAUGAGGCUGAUAUGCUCCCAUAGCUAUCUCUGUGUCUCUUGAACCAGCCAUAGAUCUUUGGUUAAUAUUAGCGGAUCCUAAAAUAACAUACUCAUCGUCCACUAUCAUCCCCUUGGCGUGUACAUAAAUCAUAAACCGUCCAAAUUUCUGGGAAGCUGAGAUCUGAUGACAGUGGUGGCAUGGCAGAAUUACUCUCAUAAUUAUGUGCACUUAAAAGACUAUCUAUAAUGAUGUAACGUCUUAGAUUUCUAAAGAUUCAUACAACCAAAUCCGAAUCUUUUGAGUUUUUCUUUUGUAAAUCAACAUCAAGUUGGUAAAUUUUUUAAAUUAUAUUUGUCACAUAAAAGAAAAAAAGAUUCAGAUGCUACCAUGCUAAUCAAAAAGCAAUUUGGAAAAUAUUUUGACUCAGCUCCUAUUACUUGUCAAAAAUUGUUGUUAAAAAUAUUCUUUUGGUUUAUUAUGGGGAACAGAAGACUUGAUGGGUACUCUAUUUGCAGGAAAAAAAUGUGAAGAGGUUAAGCUGACAAUUUAGUGAGAUAAGCAAGAAAAAAAAAUUAAAGGAAGAAAAUUACAGCUGAAGAAAUAGUUUCAUUUCACAUGAGUUAGAACACAUUCAUUUCCUUUAUUCCAGAAAACUAGCAUGGAUACUUGUCACUUGUCAACAUUUUUUUAAGUUAACUUAAAAGAUUGCCUCAAUGAUUACAAAUUUGCAAUCAAGCACAUAUAGUUGGAGAAAUAGCAGAACUAAAGGAAAAGAGAAUAUCCUUAAGCACAUAGAACUAUAAAUAAUUCCAAGAACAUCAUAUAGAUUUUAAAGCAUUGGUUAGCGAAAGUGGAAUAGGCAGAUAUUAUGAGAAGAAAGAUUGCUACCACAUCGCCAUUUGAGGAAGCAGGGUUUGGCUUUGAUCCUCCAUGUAAUUCUUCUCGAUUACCCAGACAAUAGAAGUUUAGAUAGUCAGAAGGAUGUACAUCCUUAAGUUGAGAAGAUUUUAGCUCUUGAGCAAUGAUUCCAUACAUCAUUUUCAUGGUUUGCCUCUGCAAGGGAAACAAGAUAAUGAGAAUACAGCAUAGGAGACAGACCCUUGAGGAACUGAGAACAAUAUUUGAUGAGCUCGCCCGUCGCAGGCAUAGAACUACAACUAAAUCGACAUAAUAAACAGAGGAAAACUGAAGAACAAGAACUGUAAUGUAAUUGUAAAUGGGGCUUGAACAUCAAAUAAUGGAACAGCCUUUAGCCUAAAAGAACACAUUUUUCUUCAGGUAGAUAUAAACUCGAACGAUUCAAUUAUCCACCAAACUAAACAGAUUAUCACGCCUAGCUCACUUAUCGCCUUGUUAGUGACAAGAAUUACCAAAUUACGAACUGGUAAUCGGAAAAGUUGGAUCAUUAUAUUUCAAUUAUCCACUAAUCAGCUAAAUCACAUUCUUAUUUUAUUAUUGAAAGAAUCACUCAGUCAAAUAACAUACACAAAGCUAACAUUUAAAGAGUAGUACGCUGCAUCACCUGCCAAUACAGAAUUUCUUGUACUGAAGCAGAAGUGGGGACUCCCUCAGGCCACAUUGGAAUGACAACAUAAACAGAAAAUCGCUCUUUUUCCCGAAUUUUACUGGCUAUCUUUAAUGCAAGCUCCAUGGGAAUUAGAUUAUCAGCACCUAAAGUAUAAGCAAAGUUUUAUCAAUUAAAAAAAAAUAAGUUGCAAGCAGAACAAAGGAAACCAAUGUUUAGUGGUGUAUUCUAGGAGACCAAACAGCCUCAUUAAGAUACCGCUCCUUGAGUUCAGAAGAAUCGUGUUAAUGGGCAUUAUUGAGUGAAGCAGUACGCAUGCAAUGAUGAAUCUCAACUCAUCGUAAGUCUUUUAGCACUUUGUUUGGUUAAACAAAGUGGAAAAGAAGGAAAGAGAAGCAGUGGAUUGACAUUGUUAACUUAAAAGAAAAAGGUUUAUCUCCAUAAAACUCGGUAAGUGUAAAGGAAAAUACAAGGAAAAAUCUAGCUUCUUCCUAUCUUACACUUCCAAAACUUGACAGAAUGUUUCCAGAACUUGAAAAUACAUUUAAUAGGGGUAAAUAAUUUUUUUUCUGAUAAGGAAAAUAUUUUAGUAUGGGUAAUUGAUAUAUGUAUAUGUAUAUAUGUAUAAUGGUAAUGCCUGGGCACGCUUGUGAGCACCUCAGAUAAUCCUCCCAUACCUGCUUGUGCGACCUAGCCAUAAUAGGUACCGGCUAAAUCUAUCCAUAAUGGCUUAAACAAAUGGAAAGAAAUCACCUUUUCUUUUGCCUGUAGUGGGAUUUGAACUAUGAGCGUAAUUUAACUAGUUGUCAUCAAUAUCACAACAUUUCUCUCAACAAUUGAAGGUGUCACAACUUUUGAAAUGGAAGGGUUCCAUUGCCUACAGUUUUACGUCGCUCUGUUAUUUAUUCAUAACUACACAAGGUAAAUGGCCCUUCCAGUCAAGCUUAUUCACCCUCCACCUAAGCCUCCUCCUAACCCUCCAAACAGAGAAUCAGAAAAAGUUACAUUUUGCCAGAAAUAUUGGCUUUUGUGUAAUAUAUCAACUCAGUUAUGGUUCUUACUUUACUUUGACAAUCCAAAAGCACAAAAGAAGAUAAACAAUGGGAAGUAAGAUUAGGAACUGCAAUAGUGACAAUAAGAAACCUGCGUCUUUGUAUGAAUGCCAAGCAUAUGAUGACCCAAGGAAAUAUUGAUUCUCAAUAUAGAUAAAAUGUUGUGCCUGUCUUAUUGCCUGAAUAUAUCCCAUUUGGAUGCUCUUAUCGAUCACCAAAUUUUUUGCACAGACAAGGUUCUGCAGUGACAGAAAUACCAAAGACCUUUGCCAUUAAGAAACUUAAACAAAUUCAAUAAAGCUAUAUACAAGUGGCAUGUGAUAGCCAACUUUCAGUAUGGACUUCAAGAAACAAGAAGCUACAAGAAUAUGCACCUGUGAUUCAGCCAAAAAAACAUCUUUAGGAAAUCCUUUCAAAGACCCUGAAUCAAUAGAUCGGAAGACCUAUAAACAUUAAAACAACAAUAUUAGCUGGAAUUAACUUAAACCUAAUCAAUAACUCAAUAAUUUACUUUGUCAAGCAAACGUUAGUUCUUAUGAACCUGAACAUGCCAGUUUUCAGGAUCUUCUUCCUUGGAAACCCACAAAGAUUGGUCAUCAUUCGGAACAGAAGAGGAAGGACUAAUAAUCCAAGAAAUUCUUUCUAUUUUGAUCAAAGCAUCGUCAUGCCAAUGAGAUAUCCUUUUUAAACGUCUUCCCAACUCUGACCAUUUUGUGGCUUUUCUCCACCUCUGCUCAAAGUUUGUGAGCACAUCAUAUGCAGCAGGUCCUUCAACCUUGCAAUGCAAGUCAUGCCAUGGCUGUCUAGGUCCCUUGGUUCCUGCCUAUUGAAAAGAUAAUAUGUACAUCUCUAGCAGGAAAGCCAAAGAGAGCACUCGGAAAUAGAUUUUCAGAGAACAAGUAUAGCAUCAUUUUAUAUGCUUGUAAAAGAUCAAGAUAACUAAAAAACUAAAAUAUCAAUUUCUUAAAGAAAUAGAUUUUCAAUUGCCUAAUAUGCUACAGUAUAUCUUUGCAGGAAUAUUCUCAACAUGGCAGGUCAAGGUUACUAAAAGAAUGUAAGCUCAGCUGUAUCACAUUGCACAUCACAGAGGUCUAAACCACCAGUCAAAAAUACUCACACAAAAUGUUGGAUUAUGAUAAUCAUCCUUGAAGACUGUGUCAAGAUCACAGAAUAAUCUAUGCUCAGGUGUAUCAUAACGCCCAUCACAGAGGUCUAGACCACCAAGGAAAGCUGUAAUCUUCCGAUUGUUGCCACUGGCUUGUGUGUCCACAAUCACACACUUCUGAUGGUGCGUAUAAAGGGUUCCAACCACCUAAAUAUCAUAUAAACAGAAAUGUAAUUUGUCAGGAGUUCUGGAUGGUUUAAACGAAAGGGACUUGUAAAGUUCAUCAUAUCUUUGGAGGGAGCCAUAUUAUGCAUGCACAUAGAAAGGUGAUUACAUGUCUAAAAAGUGAGGCAGUACACCAGUUACUUCCACGGCAAUAAUGUAUAAUGCAUAUACAAGCACAUCUUAGACAUUUACAUAUCCUUGCGGCCUUACCAGUUGAAUUUUCUCUUGGCAGGAGAAAAGCACUGCCAUUAAGUUUUUGAAUGUAGAGAAGGUCAAUGGUUGUUUGGGGAUGAAAGAAAGAGAAAAAAGAAAGAUGAAAGGAUUAAAGAAAACUUAAUUUGAAUCACUAAAGUCCUGCUCUCUUACACCUAAGUGUAAGAUGUCUAUCCGACACAAAGAUUUCUUAAGUGCCUGAUAUUAAAGUUGAAUAUUUAACUCUCUGCUUUUUCUUCCUUUCCUUUUAAGUAAAUUUUCGACAAAGUUAAAACACCUUUCCAUGUUAGGUCUCUGCAUCUCCUAUCUUAGAUAAGAAAUUGAAUUUUUCUUAUUGUCGGUCUUAAGUAUGAUAAUUAAAAUGGCAAAGAGCCAAAACAGACGAAGAGGCAGCAGUUCGCUAUGCUGACUAAUAAUUUUGAGUUUCGGCCUUGCACAAUCAGAAACUGUAAGAUUUGGACGUUGUCCCUAAAAGUCAUAAAUCGUCCAUAAGUAGACUAGCAUUUACUCAAGGAGAAACAAAUAUUGGUGUGGUACGAAGCAUGCCUGUUGCUUGAAAAUGCUUAGCUUACUGCUUGCAUAACGAGGUGACAGCACACAAGUGACAGAUGAGUGCUUGAAAAAUUUCCGAGUUUCUUCAUCAUGAGUACACAUCAGUCCAUCCUGCACAAUUUAGAGCUCAUUGAAUCAGAAGCAGGAGUAUCAAAAGACUAUCAAGUACAUGAAAGUUGCUAUUGUCAUAAUAUAUGCAAUUAAGUUAAGACCAUAACCACUUUAUCAAAAAAAAAAAAGUUAAGAUCUUAAUCCACAACCAACUCAAAUAUUUAGCAAAGCAGGGCAACAUAGACAGGCAGAGGUAAGCCAGAUGAAAGGCUACAGAACCCCACAGUCUGCGAUUCAGUUACGGCCUUGAAAGGCCCUGUUCAGUCCGUAAUUCAUUUGCCAAGGAUAUACUCUUGAAAGGGUUUUAGAAAUUUAGGAAACAAGCACCAAUAAUCCUCUAGCUACAUUUUCUAUAUAAUCCACUAAUCGCCAUGAUCAAAGCUGUAGACAGUCAUCUGCUGUAGUCAGGCUACAACUUGCCAAACUUCAAACACAACUUGACCAAUCAAAGUAACUUGGGACUGCACAUACACACAGUAAGGUGUAAUAAAAUGGUUAUUGGUGGUUUCAAAGAAUAGGUUAUGGGAUAGGCUAAACAAAAGCUUUAAAUGAGCUCAUGGAAGAUAUGCAGCUAUUCUAUCAACUUUCAAAUGUCUAUGAGGGUAAUAAGUGUCUUAGGGUAGCAUAGUCAUUGUAGUAGAGUUAAAGGUAGCUUAAAGAAAAACAUGCCCUCCAACAGAUGAAUCCAAGCAUCUAAAAAGUGGGGUACUUCUCCUAGGUCACAUUACACAAGCAGAGACAAUAACCAAAAAUGAGCUCUUGAUCUUGAAAGUCGGAUCUUUUCACUAACAAAUGUCUUCCGUUCUUCCUUCCAUUAGUCCAAAACAGACAGAAAGGUGUCAUUUCCAGAUUUACCUCUCAUAUGUUCCAGCAUGAUGGACAUUCCACCUACAUCAUUUGGAACAAACCCAAUGGACCCCGAAAAAGAGAAGAGUGACAAAAGCCACAUGUCCAUAGCAACUUCCUUUCAUAUGACACAACAACAGAAGCACCAGGUGACAGCAGUUUCUAUUUUCCUAGUGUCAUUGUCAGCAGUAGAUCUUGUUUUCUUUUUUCUUUUUACUGCUGACAAAUAUUGUGUUUUGUGGGCUGCAUUCCAACUCCAAGCACAAAGAUGAGUUCUUUUAGGACAUUGAAGCACCAAAUUGCCUUGUAUGAUUUUGGUUGCUAUAUUUGUAACUGAUAUAAUUGUAGUAAGUUUUUUUUUUAAAUAUAUACUCCCUCCGUAUCAAUUUAUGUGAACCUAUUUCCUUUUUGGUCCGUGCCAAAAAGAAUGACCCAUUUCCNNNNNNNNNNNNNNNNNNNNNNNNNCUUAAACUCCGUGCCCAGUCAAAUGGGUUCACAUAAAUUGAAACGGAGGGAGUAUAUAUAUAUAUAAAUUGUAGUAAGAGUUCAGGGGAGACAGAGUUUGGGGACUUUUUGGUGUUUUAUGCAGGUUUUCUGAGUGACUAUCUGUGAUAACAUAAAAAGAACCAGAAUUUUGACUUUCCAUAUUAGAAAAGGAAAGAUACAGCCUAGAAUAACAGCUUCCAAAAUGAAAAGGAACAAAAAUCCAAUAAAGGAAAAGGGAGUAGAGAACUUUAUCACUGUACAAUAUAGAUGAACAAACAAACAUGUAAAGUUCCAAAAGGGAAAGCAUAUUAAAGUAGAUUAUUAUAAAGUGCCUCACCAACUAGUCUAAUGCUAUAUAAUACCAAGGUGCAGAAUCUUAGCAAAUUGAAAAUCAUACUAGCAAAUAUCAGACUUUCAGUUUCAUACCGUUUGAAUGAAGAAUUUGCUGUGAGAAGUCUUAUCAUCCCAAACCAACAACAAUACCCUCACUCCUUCCUCCGAUUUAUACUUAAGCAAGUCCCCAAGUGUCAAAUCCCCACCGCUCGGCAACGGCUUACUUGGCUCCCUCACCAGCUUCACCUUAUGAAAUAUUGACCACCCAACUAUAUACACCAAAUGAUGUGCCUCCAAUAUCGCAUGGCAUAUAUCUUCCCAACACUUACUAUGCUCGAACACCUUGUUAUCAUCCAAUUUAAUCUCCGGCAACAUUCCAUCUGGCACGUGCGCGUCCUGAUAUAAAGUAACCGAUCCUCCGUGCCUCACCGGAAAAUAACUCUCUUUUAAGCCGUAAUCCUCUGAUAUGCCGCUGUUAUAUACCGGAUUACCGUUGCAAUGUGUGAAUUUCAUUUGGAGUCUAAUAGCACAAUCAGGCUUUGGAGGUUUACCGUAAGGUCCAAUUAUAGGGAACCAAUCAUCAAUGAGCUCGCCGGACUUGAUCUUCUGAGCUGGAACGGUGGCAACGCCGAUGUAAUCCGCUCCGAAAACGUCGUUAUCCUUAACCUGGAAUUCAACAACGGAAACAGGAUGAGCUAGCGGGAUUUUGAAAUGCUCGUUCCAAACAGGAUCCUGACAGUUCGAAAUCACGCGCGUACGCGCCACAGUAGCGCCGGAUAAGCAAACAGUAACAUACGGAUCGCUAGUUAUGAUUUUCCGGUGAUGACCUUUCCGGCGCCGGCGAGUGAACGGUUUCCGGCAAACAUCUAAUGCUGUAAAGCAACGACGUAGACGUUCGGUGACCAAAUCCAUAUUAGGUAACCGUCGCGCUUCUAGAAUCUUCAAAUCAAGGUCUCCAUGUAGAUGUAUCACAUUUUCACAAUUCUCAUCCGCCAUUAAUAAUAAUAAUUACAAAAAAACGA
RNAcentral lists this long non-coding RNA (9760 nucleotides) under Nicotiana tabacum (common tobacco). RNAcentral describes it as "long non-coding RNA (NTAB_LNC011791)". The record is from RNAcentral. Lineage: Eukaryota; Viridiplantae; Streptophyta; Magnoliopsida; Solanales; Solanaceae.